Astatotilapia calliptera (eastern happy) is the source of this 1073-nucleotide long non-coding RNA. The record is from Ensembl. Lineage: Eukaryota; Metazoa; Chordata; Actinopteri; Cichliformes; Cichlidae.
GCCCGAUCUACUGAAACAUUUUUCAGCAUUAAAUGAAACAAUAUUCACCAGCUGCGAGAAAAUGUGUAUCUGCAAGCAACAAAGCGUGGUGUAAUAAAUCUGUUCAAAGCAGCUCCUCUUAUAUUUCAUAAGCUGGAAUUAAAAUAAAUUAAGUGCCUCUGUCUGGUCACAGUUACAUGAAGUAAGAUGUCAUACAAUUUGCCAUUGCACCAUCUGUCUUUAACCCAGUCUUCAAUCCCAGUUGUAUUUUCUCAUUUGUCUGCUCACCAGCAAGCAGACUGGCUACAAGAUCCCCAGAAGAUAGAUCCGCACCUGUCCCAUGGUAAGUUAAUUAAAUGGAAAAGAAAACAACAUUUAAACUUGGAUUUCAUAAUUCUGUUGUUUAUGGAGAGUUGCUACUUACAAUCUUAAUUCCAAAAAGCUGUUAUGCUGCCUGAGACAUAGAUUAAAUGUGUUAAUAAUAUGUUAAAAUAUGUUAAUAAAAUACGAAUAAGUUAACUAGCAACACAAGGGUGGAAAAGUAAGUGGCACUAAAAAGAAACAGCUCGAAGAACAUUUUGCAACUAAUUAGGUUAACUGGCAAUUGGUUGGUAACAUGACUGGGUAUAAAAAUAGCAUCAUAGAGAGGCAGAGGUUCACCGAUCAGCAAAAAAAAAAAAAACUGCGUCUAUAGCUUGGAAAACAAUUUCAGAACACAAAACAAGACUUUGAAUAUCUCAUCAUAUAUAGUAAACAAUAUCAUAAAAAGAUUCUGAGAAUCCGGAGAAAUCUCUGAGUGCAAGGGACAAGGCCAAAAAUAAAUAUUAGAUGCCUUCAGGUGGGACUGCAUUAAAAACAGGCAAGGGCUGAGGAACAUUUUAGGGAGAAAAUAUAAGUGCCACAUUCUUCUGACAAAAGAGAAGAGGGACCAUCUAGACUGUUAUCGGUGCUGCAUCUCUGUUGGUAUAGGGGUACAUUAGUGCCUAUUAGCAACCCCCGCAUCUUGAAAGGCACUAUCAGUAUGUACUGGUCUUAGGGUAACGGAUGCUUUCAUCCAGAUGAGAUUUUUUCAUCAAAGGCCUUGGGUAUUUCAC